RNAcentral lists this ribosomal RNA (463 nucleotides) under uncultured bacterium. Its description in RNAcentral is "partial 16S ribosomal RNA". It matches the Rfam family "Bacterial small subunit ribosomal RNA", at positions 28 to 507 of the family's 1533-position model. The record is from RNAcentral.
GACGAACGCUGGCGGCGCGCCUAACACAUGCAAGUCGAACGAGCGAGAGAGAGCUUGCUUUCUUGAGCGAGUGGCGAACGGGUGAGUAACGCGUGAGGAACCUGCCUCAAAGAGGGGGACAACAGUUGGAAACGACUGCUAAUACCGCAUAAGCCCACGGUGCCGCAUGGCACAGAGGGAAAAGGAGCAAUCCGCUUUGAGAUGGCCUCGCGUCCGAUUAGCUAGUUGGUGAGGUAACGGCCCACCAAGGCGACGAUCGGUAGCCGGACUGAGAGGUUGAACGGCCACAUUGGGACUGAGACACGGCCCAGACUCCUACGGGAGGCAGUGGGGAAUAUUGCACAAUGGGGGAAACCCUGAUGCAGCGACGCCGCGUGGAGGAAGAAGGUCUUCGGAUUGUAAACUCCUGUUGUUGGGGAAGAUAAUGACGGUACCCAACAAGGAAGUGACGGCUAACUACGUG